UACGUAGGUGGCAAGCGUUGUCCGGAUUUAUUGGGUUUAAAGGGUGCGUAGGCGGCCCUGUAAGGCAGUGCUGAAAUAUCCCAGCUUAACUGGGAGGGUGGCAUUGAUACUGCGGGGCUAGAGUACAGAUGAGGUAGGCGGAAUUGACGGUGUAGCGGUGAAAUGCUUAGAUAUCGUCAAGAACACCUAUAGCGAAGGCAGCUUACUAGGCUGUAACUGACGCUGAGGCACGAAAGUGUGGGGAUCAAACAGG
RNAcentral lists this ribosomal RNA (253 nucleotides) under uncultured bacterium. RNAcentral describes it as "partial 16S ribosomal RNA". It matches the Rfam family "Bacterial small subunit ribosomal RNA", at positions 524 to 776 of the family's 1533-position model. The record is from RNAcentral.